Molecule: long non-coding RNA, 918 nt
Organism: Raphanus sativus (radish)
Lineage: Eukaryota; Viridiplantae; Streptophyta; Magnoliopsida; Brassicales; Brassicaceae
Exons: 2
Source: RefSeq, a predicted model, not a curated record
UUAACUAACAUUGAACCCAAACUUUAUAUUAACACUUACUUAAACUUCAAACACCAAUAAUCUCUUAAACUCUAAACUAAAAAUCUGUUUUUAAAAUUAAUCUUAAGCAUCGAAUGAUAUAGCAGCAAAAAGUAAACAUAAAAGAAAAAAAAAAUCUAUUGGCCAAUACACUUUUCACAUGGAUCACCAUUCCAGCCGUUAGAUUGAGUUUCAAUCAAUGGACAAGAUUUUUUUUUGUUUUCUUUCUUCUUUCUCCUUCUCUCUUCAGAUCUACGGAUCUCUCAUCUCUCCAUCUUCUGUUCUUUUCUCUUUCAAAGUCCAUCUUCUCCAUAUUUGUUCUCCUCUGUUCUUCAUCAUCUUCUCCAUCUUCUGCUCACCACUUUCUUCACUGCUCGCCGUACUCUUUUCACCGCCUUGAGUUCGAGUCUGAUUCGAGACAUAUGAGGCACGCUGGCCGUCCCACCACCGCCACUUGGAGGAAAGGCGAGGUGGAAGUGGUGGUGCGGCGGAAGACGGAGUUCCAGUAGAUCUGGAAGAAGCUGGAGAAGAGGAGGCUUCAUGGGGAAGACGACGUCCACAUGGUGAAUCCUCGGAAGCUGCGUCGAAGGAGGCGCACGGAAGCUGUAGUGGGGGAGACCCUGAGGCCGGAAGCAGAGAUGACGGCAUCUCCGGUCAAGGAUAGAGAAGGCCAGGCGCACUGGUUGAGGAGGCACACAGGGCGGCUGGAGUUUUUUUUUUUUUUUUAGGUUUAGUGUUUUUUUUUGUUUAGGGUUUUCCGGUUUAGUGUAAACCGAAUUGGAUAAACCUUUGUGGUUUACUUUAUUUUUAUUUUUUCUGGUUUAGUUUUGUAAACCGAAAUUUAUUUAUCAUUAAAUUUUAUUUUAUUUUUAAUAUAAAAAAAAUUGGGUUUAAUUUUAA